Molecule: RNA transcript, 3127 nt
Organism: Panicum virgatum (switchgrass)
Lineage: Eukaryota; Viridiplantae; Streptophyta; Magnoliopsida; Poales; Poaceae
Exons: 2
Source: RefSeq, a predicted model, not a curated record
CCCCCGGUGCCAAAGCAACCCUGGCCGUGAGCCCGGACCUGCUGGAGGCUAGCGAGGAGCUGCCGCUUGCUCCAACUGCAACGGAGGAAUUCCUAUUGGCGGAGGAGGAAGUGCCCCCGGUGUCAAGCUCACCGGAGGCUUUCGCGCUGGCGCGGAGACAUUCGGCUCCUGACCUGUUUUCGCCAACCGAGGUGCGAGUGAGAUGGGCAGGUGAGGGUUCUCGUUUCUGGGCGCUAGCUUCUGGAGAAAGCUCUGAUGAGGAGUGCGAAGACGUCGGUAAGGGGUCGACGGAGUCGGGCGGAGAUGGUAAGUUCGUUCGUGAUGCUCUCUUUUCAGGAUUUUCGAUUGAUGAGUUGAAAAGAGCAGAAGCUCUGUCUCUGGAAGUGCAAUCUCCUGCUUUUGGCUCAGCGGACUGCGGAGCAGGUCAAGCAAAACAUCCACGUACGUUGGCUCGAAGGGUGGUGGAUGCAGUGGCUGAGAGAAGAGAUCGGAAAAGUAAAUCAUGGAAAGGCCCUCUGCCGCCGGCGAGAUCUUCCCCACCGUUAUCACUAGGUGAUAUCGUGGUGAGAGACUCCCGUUCACAUGGUGCAAAGGGAACAAGAAAAUGUCUGUCGGAGUUUUGCGACGCCCAGCGAACACCGGUGGCCGUGGAGUCACCGUCGCCGGGGAAGAAGAAGACUGCUUCAGAUCUAGAUGUAGAAUUUGAAUUUCGAAAUUGCAUAAUGGUUCAACUUGCUGGGCCUAAGUGUUGGGCCGACCAGGGACAAUUGAGGGCCCAAAGGACUUUCAAGUGUGCAAGGGCAUUAGGGCUGCUCUUUAUGAGAGCAGGGAGACCCGUCGGCUUCCCAAAGCCACAUUCUUCCACUCCCACAUCUCCUAGGUUCCCGUGCGCGUCGAGCGACUCAUUGAAUGCGGCAAUGGCUGGUAGGUAGAAGGGCGUGGAGAGGUCUCAUGGCUUCGGCGACCAUGCCGAGCGCGAUGGGCGUCAACAGGGAGGAAGGGAGUGGCCUGAGCUACAUAGGCCAAGGUUUGAAGGGCAAGGCAGGUACCAGGGAGGAAGAAGUUUCGAGGAGGCGCGAGGUGUUCCGAGGGAGUCUGGGAGGAUCGGAAACAACGGGCGAGGGGGUGGCCGGUUCAUGGCGCGCGGCCGCGGCCGCGGCCACUUUCAGUAUGGUGGUGCUGGGGGCUCCAGGGACCGGAGUUGGCAAGAGAAGAAUUCUGGCCGGACCCGUGGAGGGAGGGGUUCCAGUGAAGGGAUGCAUAGCUCCCAGGAACAGCACAAGAACAGGAUCUCUGGGGCUUGUUCGUCAUCCAUGGAAGGGGGCACUAAGAGCAAAGAUAAGAUGGACGAGAUGAGGAAAUAUCAGCAAGGCAAGCAAGACAUGGAGAUGACAGAUGCAGCACGAAACGAUGAAGCUGAAGGUGGUGACGUGAGGACAGGAAUCAAGUGUGCAAGAUGCACCAAGAAAGGGCACUUAGCAGCGAACUGCACAACAGAAAUUUAUUGUGUUAUUUGUGAUCGGAAAGACCAUGUAAAUUUUAGAUGUCCAGUGUUGAAGAUGCCUAGGCCGGUGGCGCAUGCGGUUGGCUAUGCGGUUCACGGUCUAGGUUUCUAUCAUAUUCCUCACCCUCCCUUGCCGAGGGCUAGAAAGGAUACAAAGAUGGCGCUGAUUUCAAUAGAGGGCGGGCAGCUUGAUAAGGAGGAGGUGCAAAGGCAACUUGCGAGAAUCUUCCCAGGAAAGUGGCAGUGGGAGCUUAGUGAGCAUGAAGAUAACUCUUUCAUCACUAAAUUCCCAUCCAAAAUCGAACUGCAAAGGGCAAUUGCAUUUGGAGGGGCAGAUGCUAAAGGUGUUGAUAUCCCUGCGGUAAGGAUUCGGUUUGAUAUGUGGCAUGAAAAGGAGACUGGAUAUUUGCUACCAAAGGUAUGGGUAAGGGUCUAUGGCAUUAGAAAGGAAUUAAGGGAAUUUCAGGAGUUAUGGACGGUAGGCUCGAUGCUUGGUUCUACGCAGAUAGUGGAUAUGGAGACAACUAGAAAGAGUGAUUUUGGACGCAUCUUUGUGGCUGUCCUUAAUCCGAAGCUUAUCCCAGCAAGCCUUGAUGUGGUUGUUGGGGAUCACUACUUUGAAUUGGGCUUUGAGGUGGAAAAAAUUGGAGUGGAUGAGACGGGGAAGAUGCAGUUUUUGAGUGGAGUGGGGAAGAGGAUGGUGAAGGAAAGGGAGAGAAGGGUGACAAGGAGUUUUCUCCCAGAAAAGAAGAGCUCGAGAGAGAGGCCAAGAGACACAAAUACUCUAGUACUAUUGGUGGAUCGGAGGGGAAGGCUGCAGGUUCAGAGACUUGCUUCAAUGCAAAUGACCUGAGUACCUUUAAAGAGAAAGUGUCGAACAUGAAUGAGGAGGAAUUCAGAAUGUUCUUGAAAGAGAAAGCGGAGGAAACUAUGGAUAUAGCUGCUGAUCGAGUCUUGGAGGAGAUCGCAGAUAAAGUGAUGGGGGAAGAGGUGUUUCCAACAGCAGUUUCAGGGGGGUUUAGUGGCUUUGCUGAGGAAGGGGAAGGGGGUGCUACAGCUGAUGGGAUGCAUUUGACAGAAAACCAUGCGGAGAACUCAAUGGAGAGCAACAAGAGGAUGGAAAGGGCAGCAAUGAUACCGGAGGCGACAAUACCGCAUGUCCGCUCCAGUCCAAGGUUGUCGAAGUCUAAAGAUGAACACACCUUGAUCAGAGCUGAGGAAAGGGCGGCAAAGAAAAAUCUCGAGCUCCCGGGAGGUGAUCUUCAGAGGGACACACUGGAUACGAUGUUGGGCGCUCCUUUCUAAAGAGGAAGAGAAACUCCGACUGCUAAGAGGCUGCAAGAGUUUGGAGAUAACAGCUAUGGACGUUUUGAGCAAAGCUGGGUGGAAUAUCUUCAAGAGAAUUGAUAACUAGAAUCUAUUUAGAUCUUAUUGUUGUCUCUUUGGGGUGAUCUAAAUCUCUUGUAUCGUGUCACUUUAUGUGGUGUGCGGCUUAUAUGCUGCAGGGUAGAAUCUCGUUGGUUGUAUGCGAUCAAAGCCUUGAUUGCAGAGACCGGUUUAUUAUCCUUCAUCUAAAAAAAAAUCUGAACAUCUGAUCGUCAACAUGAAGGUUGAUCGUCGAAA